AUUGAACGCUGGCGGCAGGCCUAACACAUGCAAGUCGAGCGGAUGAAGGGAGCUUGCUCCUGGAUUCAGCGGCGGACGGGUGAGUAAUGCCUAGGAAUCUGCCUGGUAGUGGGGGAUAACGUCCGGAAACGGGCGCUAAUACCGCAUACGUCCUGAGGGAGAAAGUGGGGGAUCUUCGGACCUCACGCUAUCAGGUGAGCCUAGGUCGGAUUAGCUAGUUGGUGGGGUAAAGGCCUACCAAGGCGACGAUCCGUAACUGGUCUGAGAGGAUGAUCAGUCACACUGGAACUGAGACACGGUCCAGACUCCUACGGGAGGCAGCAGUGGGGAAUAUUGGACAAUGGGCGAAGGCCUGAUCCAGCUAUGCCGCGUGUGUGAAGAAGGUCUUCGGAUUGUAAAGCACUUUAAGUUGGGAGGAAGGGCAGUAAGUUAAUACCUUGCUGUUUUGACGUUACCAACAGAAUAAGCACCGGCUAACUUCGUG
RNAcentral lists this ribosomal RNA (484 nucleotides) under uncultured bacterium. Its description in RNAcentral is "partial 16S ribosomal RNA". It matches the Rfam family "Bacterial small subunit ribosomal RNA", at positions 30 to 507 of the family's 1533-position model. The record is from RNAcentral.